RNAcentral lists this ribosomal RNA (421 nucleotides) under Epinephelus malabaricus (Malabar grouper). Its description in RNAcentral is "partial 12S ribosomal RNA". It matches the Rfam family "Bacterial small subunit ribosomal RNA", at positions 776 to 1397 of the family's 1533-position model. The record is from RNAcentral. Lineage: Eukaryota; Metazoa; Chordata; Actinopteri; Perciformes; Serranidae.
GAUUAGAUACCCCACUAUGCUUUGCCCUAAACAUUGAUAGUCUUAUACAACCACUAUCCGCCCGGGAACUACGAGCAACAGCUUAAAACCCAAAGGACUUGGCGGUGCUUUAGACCCACCUAGAGGAGCCUGUUCUAAAACCGAUAACCCCCGUUCAACCUCACCUUUUCUUGUUCUCUCCGCCUAUAUACCGCCGUCGUCAGCUUACCCUAUGAAGGCCCCUUAGUAAGCACAAUUAGUACAACCCAAAACGUCAGGUCGAGGUGUAGCGUAUGGAAAGGGAAGAAAUGGGCUACAUUCCCUAUUACAGGUAAUUACGGAUAAUAUUACUGAAACGUGUAUCUAGAAGGAGGAUUUAGCAGUAAGCAGAAAAUAGAGUGUUCUGCUGAAACCGGCCCUGAAGCGCGCACACACCGCCCGU